RNAcentral lists this ribosomal RNA (748 nucleotides) under uncultured bacterium. Its description in RNAcentral is "bacterial SSU rRNA". It matches the Rfam family "Bacterial small subunit ribosomal RNA", at positions 28 to 776 of the family's 1533-position model. The record is from RNAcentral.
GAUGAACGCUGGCGGCGUGCUUAACACAUGCAAGUCGAGCGAAGCGCUUUGGCGGAUUUCUUCGGAUUGAAGCCUUGGUGACUGAGCGGCGGACGGGUGAGUAACGCGUGGGUAACCUGCCUCAUACAGGGGGAUAACAGUUGGAAACGACUGCUAAUACCGCAUAAGCGCACAGUACCGCAUGGUACGGUGUGAAAAACUCCGGUGGUAUGAGAUGGACCCGCGUCUGAUUAGGUAGUUGGUGGGGUAACGGCCUACCAAGCCGACGAUCAGUAGCCGACCUGAGAGGGUGACCGGCCACAUUGGGACUGAGACACGGCCCAAACUCCUACGGGAGGCAGCAGUGGGGAAUAUUGCACAAUGGGGGAAACCCUGAUGCAGCGACGCCGCGUGAGCGAUGAAGUAUUUCGGUAUGUAAAGCUCUAUCAGCAGGGAAGAAAAUGACGGUACCUGACUAAGAAGCCCCGGCUAACUACGUGCCAGCAGCCGCGGUAAUACGUAGGGGGCAAGCGUUAUCCGGAUUUACUGGGUGUAAAGGGAGCGUAGACGGCAUGGCAAGCCAGAUGUGAAAGCCCGGGGCUCAACCCCGGGACUGCAUUUGGAACUGUCAGGCUAGAGUGUCGGAGAGGAAAGCGGAAUUCCUAGUGUAGCGGUGAAAUGCGUAGAUAUUAGGAGGAACACCAGUGGCGAAGGCGGCUUUCUGGACGAUGACUGACGUUGAGGCUCGAAAGCGUGGGGAGCANACAGG